GGCUCGUUCGUCUAGCGGUUUUAGGACGCCGGUUUUUCAAGCCGGUAACAGGGGUUCGAUUCCCCUACGAGCUA
Molecule: transfer RNA, 74 nt
Filed under: Planctomycetales bacterium
Lineage: Bacteria; Pseudomonadati; Planctomycetota; Planctomycetia; Planctomycetales
Description: tRNA-Glu
Rfam family: tRNA
About the family: Transfer RNA (tRNA) molecules are approximately 80 nucleotides in length. Their secondary structure includes four short double-helical elements and three loops (D, anti-codon, and T loops).
Source: RNAcentral